RNAcentral lists this small RNA (107 nucleotides) under Marmota monax (woodchuck). The record is from RNAcentral. Lineage: Eukaryota; Metazoa; Chordata; Mammalia; Rodentia; Sciuridae.
GCUGGGCACAGUGGUGCACGCCUGUAAUCCCAACAACUUUAGAGGCUAAGGCAGGACGAUCUCAAGUUUGAGACCAGCCUCACCAACUUAGGGAGGCCUUGUCUUAA